CAGCAAGGCUAGUAGUGCUUUUGGUAGACUUGAUAAGUGUUUGUGGAAACAACAUAAUAUAUCUUCACAAAUUAAAGUUAAGGUAUGUAACACAUGUGUCUUCCCAUCUUUGCUAUAUGGAAGUGAGGCAUAGGUUAUCCACCUUAGACUAU
Molecule: long non-coding RNA, 152 nt
Organism: Octopus sinensis (East Asian common octopus)
Lineage: Eukaryota; Metazoa; Mollusca; Cephalopoda; Octopoda; Octopodidae
Exons: 3
Source: RefSeq, a predicted model, not a curated record